This 497-nucleotide ribosomal RNA is filed under the name uncultured bacterium. Its description in RNAcentral is "partial 16S ribosomal RNA". It matches the Rfam family "Bacterial small subunit ribosomal RNA", at positions 28 to 507 of the family's 1533-position model. The record is from RNAcentral.
GAUGAACGCUGGCGGCGUGCCUAAUACAUGCAAGUCGAGCGAACAGAUGAGGAGCUUGCUCCUCUGACGUUAGCGGCGGACGGGUGAGUAACACGUGGAUAACCUACCUAUAAGACUGGGAUAACUACGGGAAACCGGAGCUAAUACCGGAUAAUAUAUUGAACCGUAUGGUUCAAUAGUGAAAGACGGUUUUGCUGUCACUUAUAGAUGGAUCCGCGCCGCAUUAGCUAGUUGUUAAGGUAACGGCUUACCAAGGCAACGAUGCGUAGCCGACCUGAGAGGGGGAUCGGCCACACUGGAACUGAGACACGGUCCAGACUCCUACGAGAGGCAGCAGUAGGGAAUCUUCCGCAAUGGGCGAAAGCCUGACGGAGCAACGCCGCGUGAGUGAUGAAGGUCUUCGGAUCGUAAAACUCUGUUAUUAGGGAAGAACAAAUGUGUAAUUAACUAUGCACUUCUUGACGGUACCUAAUCAGAAAGCCACGGCUAACUACGUG